RNAcentral lists this long non-coding RNA (1378 nucleotides) under Heterocephalus glaber (naked mole-rat). RNAcentral describes it as "lncRNA (ENSHGLG00100048138.1)". Lineage: Eukaryota; Metazoa; Chordata; Mammalia; Rodentia; Bathyergidae. The record is from RNAcentral.
CAGCUAAGGUCCAGCCUUCUUUGGCCCGUGUGGGCUCCCGAGAGGGCACUGCAAGGUGGCUGCUGCCUCGCCGGCGAGUUUCCUCGAGCCUUGCUUGCUCAGGAAGCACACUGGUGACCAGUGGCUUCUGAUUGCACUUUUAGGCGCCUGGGCCCCCCUCCUCCAGCUUUCUUCCCGAUAUGUCCACACAGAUACUCAAGGGGCACGAGUUCGCUGGUCUUUGCUCAAGGUUGCACCUCUGAUGUUGAUGGAUAUGGCAGCAGCCACCCAAGCCUGCUGAACUGAUAACACCAGGAACUGGUAACACCAAAGGCACCAAAAAAGCAGCCAGUAGCUGGAGGUGGUGACAUGAAAGACAAUUAUCCAGAGUAUGACAGGGAAGUGAAAUGCCAGGAGCUGCCGUGUCCAGUGGCCAACGAUUCCUGAGGCAUGCUGGUAGCUGCCUGCUUCAAGCAACAAGGAGGGCUGCUAACGCCAACAAUGGUGGUAGAAGAGCCACCAUCACCCAUUGGCAUUCAAAGCCCAGCACUGUUAACAACAAAGGAGGUACACUGUGCAAAUUUGUGAUUUGUUUACAAAUUGAGCAAGAGUCUUCAGCUGAUUAAUAACAUUUUGGAAGCUGUCUGCUCUAGAGGGCCCUGAAGAAGAGGGCAGGUGGCUUGAUAGCCACCUCCAGGCUCAAGAAUCAGCCCACAUCUGAUUUCCAUCUUAAAUGUGACUAAGAAUCCACACUAGCCAGUGACACUUUCUUACACUUUAGAGGAGUCAGAUGUUCCUCCCUGCCUGUAAUACACAGGCUCUCCUCCACCUGUCUUUUUCUGGCCCCAUCCCUUUUAUUCAUUUUCAGACAGUCUUGCUAAGUUGCCCAGGCCAGCCUUGAGCUUUUAAUCCUUCUGCCAAGUACCUGGGAUUACAGAUGUGCACCACUAUGCUCAGUUUAACACACUUUUUAAUUGUUUACUUGUAUGUUUAUCAGGACAGAUACCUUCACUUAAUCUGCAUAUUCAAAUCCAUUAGCUCACUCUUUAAACACACAGAAAGCAGUGUGUGUUAUGCUUCAGAAUGGGAGGUAUAGUGUAUAUGUAAGGUGUGUGCUGUGGGAGAUUGGAUGAACUCAGGUGGAAUGUCCUUAGGCGCUUCUAUGAAAAAGUUUAGGUAAACAAUGUGUAAAAGACUCAGAAACUUAUUUUUUCUCCUUAUCAAUACUUCAAGUAAAAGGGAAAAGUUUAAGAAUAGCAGAAUUGAUUAAAAAUUAAUUUAGCUAUUUCUGGCUAUAGUGUAGCCAAAACUGGGCUUUAAGUCCCUGACAAAUAUUCCAUGCAACUGUUAACCUCUCACAUGUGGGUUAUGAUGACAUCUACAGCAGAGCUAGUGGGAG